AUGAAAGACUGGAUCAAGCUGGGAGAUGUGAUGCCACACAAUAUUAAACAAUUGAAGAGACUGAACUAGGUCAUUUUUCCAGUCAGCUAUACUGAUAAAUUCUACAAGGAUGUGUUAGAGGUUGGUGAGCUAGCAAAACUUGCAUAUUUCAAUGAUAUAGCUAUAGGUGCAAAGUGCUGCAGGGUGGAUCAUUCACAGAAUCAAAAGAGACUUUACAUCAUGACACUAGGAUGCCUUGCACCUUACGGAAGACUAAGAAUAGGAACUAAAAUGUUAAAUCAUGUCCUAAACAUCUGUGAGAAGGAUGGCACUUUUGACAACAUCUAUCUGCAUGUCCAGAUCAGCAAUGAGUCAGCAAUUGACUUCUACAGGAAGUUUGGCUUUGAGAUUAUUGAGACAAAGAACUACUAUAAGAAGAUAGAGCCUGCAGACGCGCAUGUGCUUCAGAAAAACCUCAAAGUCCCAUCUGGUCAGAAUGCAGAGACACAGAAGACAGACAACUGAACAAAUCACAAAUGAACUUUCUUGCACUUGCUUGUCGCCAAAAAAAAGCAUU
Molecule: RNA transcript, 556 nt
Organism: Mus pahari (shrew mouse)
Lineage: Eukaryota; Metazoa; Chordata; Mammalia; Rodentia; Muridae
Gene name: N-alpha-acetyltransferase 50 pseudogene
Exons: 1
Source: RefSeq, a predicted model, not a curated record